This 65-nucleotide transfer RNA is filed under the name Dipodomys ordii (Ord's kangaroo rat). It matches the Rfam family "tRNA". Rfam says of the family: Transfer RNA (tRNA) molecules are approximately 80 nucleotides in length. Their secondary structure includes four short double-helical elements and three loops (D, anti-codon, and T loops). Lineage: Eukaryota; Metazoa; Chordata; Mammalia; Rodentia; Heteromyidae. The record is from Rfam by way of RNAcentral.
GGUGGCUCAGUGGUAGAGUGCUUGCCUUGCAUGCAUGAGGACCUGUGUUCAAUUCCUCAGCACCA